Molecule: unclassified non-coding RNA, 296 nt
Filed under: uncultured fungus
Lineage: Eukaryota; Fungi
Description: sequence contains ITS1
Source: RNAcentral
GUAUUGUUUGUAAAGGUCCAAAAGACCCACAUCAACAUUCUAUUACAUUUUUGUGGAGUAUAUGCAAAAAAGCAUAGACUAGGAACCACAAGAAGAGCUGGCAUUCUGUGGCACAGCAAUUCUCUAAAAAUUUGAAGGAAAACAAAAAAAAUGCUUCCUCCAAAAAAGAGUUGUUCCACGUCUACAGAAGGUGCACAGGUGGUUGAAAUGGAAUGGGUGUGCACAUUGCCCCGGAGAGCCAGCAACAACCCAGCCAAGUUUCAUUAAUGAUCCUUCCGCAGGUUCACCUACGGAAA